This 57-nucleotide small RNA is filed under the name Caenorhabditis elegans. RNAcentral describes it as "Unclassified non-coding RNA ZK816.9". Lineage: Eukaryota; Metazoa; Nematoda; Chromadorea; Rhabditida; Rhabditidae. The record is from RNAcentral.
GCAGCGUGGUUGAGUGGUAGUGUGCGGUACUUCGGUCCUCGUACACUCUGGUUCAAU